GUGCCUAAUACAUGCAAGUCGAACGCACAGCGAAAGGUGCUUGCACCUUUCAAGUGAGUGGCGAACGGGUGAGUAACACGUGGACAACCUGCCUCAAGGCUGGGGAUAACAUUUGGAAACAGAUGCUAAUACCGAAUAAAACUUAGUGUCGCAUGACACAAAGUUAAAAGGCGCUUCGGCGUCACCUAGAGAUGGAUCCGCGGUGCAUUAGUUAGUUGGUGGGGUAAAGGCCUACCAAGACAAUGAUGCAUAGCCGAGUUGAGAGACUGAUCGGCCACAUUGGGACUGAGACACGGCCCAAACUUCCUACGGGAGGCUGCAGUAGGGAAUCUUCCACAAUGGGCGAAAGCCUGAUGGAGCAACGCCGCGUGUGUGAUGAAGGCUUUGCGGGUCGUAAAGCACUGUUGUAUGGGAAGAACAGACUACGAAUAGGAAAUGAUUUUAGUUUGACGGUACCAUACCAGAAAGGGACGGCUAAAUACGUGCCAGCAGCCGCGGUAAUACGUAUGUCCCGAGCGUUACUCCGGAUUUAUUGGGCGUAAAGCGAGCGCAGACGGUUUAUUAAGUCUGAUGUGAAAGCCCGGAGCUCAUACUCCGGAAUGGCAUUGGAAACUGGUUAACUUGAGUGCAGUAAGAGGUAAGUGGAACUCCUAUGUGCUAGCGGUGGAAUGCGUAGAUAUAUGGAAGAACACCAGUGGCGAAGGCGGCUUACUGGACUGCAACUGACGUUGACGGCUCGUAAAGUGUGGGUAGCAAACAGGAUUAGAUACCCUGGUAGUCCACACCGUAAACGAUGAACACCUAGGUGUUAGGAGGUUUCCGCCUCUCUAGUGUACCGAAGCUAACGCUAAUUAAGUGUUCCGCCUGGGGAGUAGCGACCUGCAAGGUUGAAACUCAAAGGAAUUGACGGGGACCCGCACAAGCGGUGGAGCAUGUGGUUUAAUUCGAAGCAACGCGAAGAACCUUACCAGGUCUUGACAUCCUUUGAUAGCUUUUAGAGAUAGAAGUGUUCUCUUCGGAGACAAAGUGACAGGAUGGUGCAUGGUCGUCGUCAGCUCGUGUCGUGAGAUGUUGGGUUAAGUCCCGCAACGAGCGCAACCCUUAUUGUUAGUUGCCAGCAUUCAGAUGGGCACUCUAGCGAGACUGCCGGUGACAAACCGGAGGAAGGCGGGGACGACGUCAGAUCAUCAUGCCCCUUAUGACCUGGGCUACACACGUGCUACA
RNAcentral lists this ribosomal RNA (1224 nucleotides) under Leuconostoc mesenteroides. RNAcentral describes it as "bacterial SSU rRNA". It matches the Rfam family "Bacterial small subunit ribosomal RNA", at positions 44 to 1229 of the family's 1533-position model. Lineage: Bacteria; Bacillati; Bacillota; Bacilli; Lactobacillales; Lactobacillaceae. The record is from RNAcentral.